CGUGGGGGGCUGUGAAGAGAAACACCCGUUAGAAAGAUGAAGUGUGAGAAAAGCUGGUAGUUCAGAGUCGGUGUGUAUGCUGGGUUUAUUCUGAAGGCUCCUUCCAUAGUUUUCCUCGAAUUGCUGGGAGCAGGAAAGGUGUGUGUCUCAUGCGUGGCAUACCAAUGCCAUGCACUGAGGGUUUUCAUGAGGUGACUCUGACUGAAUGAACAAACUCCUGCCCAAGAUAAUAUCUACAGGAGCUUUGUUUGAAAGGAAGUGAUUUUGAAACAGGAAGCCAGACAUUGUAUAAAAACUGAUAGAAUGAGGACAGCAGUGGAAAAUGGAACAGACUUGGGCUUUUUUCUGUGGAUUUAUAAUAAAUGGACAUACUCUUGAUAUGGAAGCUGUGUCUAUCUGGAGUUUAAAAUGAUGUGGUAGGUCAGAAAGGAUGAGUACCAAAUGCAGGGAGGGAGUCAUUUCUGUCAGUGUGGAGUUUCUAGAAUAGUCAAGAGUUUUGCAGUAAUAUCAGAGGAAGGAUGUGCUCUCUGGUGAUAUGGAUGCAUUUCAUAUUCUGAUACUCAUUCAGGAAUUUGUACUGGAGAAACCCUUAAGGAAAGUAACUGUUCAAGUAGAGCAUAUCGGACUAGUUUUAAAAGCAAUACAGCACACUUCUGCAAAUUGAGCCCCUGAGCUGAAGAAUGUAUCUGGAGAUGGUGGAAGAUGAGUCUCCGUGUCUACAGGUUCCUUUUCUGAUGCUGCAGUCACCUCACAGCAAACUAACUGCAAUGCUGGAAGAUGCAUACAUGAAUAAAUCGUGUACUUCAGCCUUGGCAUUUUCCACUGUCUGCCAGCAGCUUUGUAUUUCACAAAAUUCUGUGCUAAAUUGCCUUCCUUCAUCAUGGAAAUCUUCCUAUUUGGGCAAGCUAUCUAAUGUCCUGAUUCCCAGUAUGUCCUUGAACUUUUAAAAAAUAAAAAAAUAAUAGCACCACUGUGCCCUUGGCCAUCUUCUUUACUAUCUCUGUCUCUCACAGGAGAAGUACAGCUGUGUGCAUGGUUUCCAUGUCAUCCAUGAAUAUUCUAGGAUUAAAGUCUUCAGCUUGGUGGAAAAAAUAUAGUGACCUUUCUGUCCUUUAUCACGUGAGCCCUUUAUCCUAAAAUAGCAGACACGCUUGAGAGUGAAGUCAUCCUUAUGUCCUGUGGCUCUUAUCUAAAUGAGAACUCUUUUCUCAGCAUCACAUUUAUCUACAGAUAAAUAUUUCGUAAUACUGUGUUUUGAUACUGAUUUUCUUGUAUGCAAAUGAAAACGGAAGGACAGACACAAAAAGUAGAGGUAACUAUUUGUCUUUCCUUUAGAAAAAUAAUCUCUAAAGCUGCAUGUUAUUUAUGGGAGGGCUGGGGACAGGCCUCUGGAAAUCAUUUUGAAUUCCGCAAUAUGAAAGCAUUUCAGAAACAGAAGUAUGUGUGCAACAUGGAAAGGCAUCAGGUCAGUUGAUAUUACAGACCAUGUUCUCUUUAAAAUUAAAUAAUUUUAUCUCCCUGAUGGAGAGAGAUCAUUGUUACCAUAGGGUUUAUAUAACAGAUAACAAAAUAAUUGAUGCUUAUUAGAACUCGUGACACGAAAUAACUAGAACUCAAAAUUACUAUAAAAUGAUAUUUUCUUUUGUUCCUGAGUUUUCAGUCUUUGUGAAAGUCUAAUACUCUGUGCAGUACAACUGACAGUAAUAAGGGCUGAGUUGUGGAAAACUCCUUUUUGUGUGUAGUAUGCUCUUCUCUAUUGAAAGGAGAAUUACAAGGCAAUCGUGUAAAAUUCCACUGAGUUCAAAGAAAGUCUUGGAUUGAAGUAGCAAGCACUCAAAUCUUCAAAAUGUCCUGACUCAACAGGAUUUCUUGUGGUUAGACAGUUAAGCUCUCGAGAGGCAUCUCUGCAAAUCUGGCAGUAGCACAGCAGUAUGCACAGGGCAAUGGGACUUUUAAAUCUAUUUUUUAAAGAUCUCACUUGACUUAUAAUA
Long non-coding RNA from Numida meleagris (helmeted guineafowl), 1991 nucleotides. RefSeq lists it as uncharacterized. The record is from RefSeq and is a predicted model, not a curated record. Lineage: Eukaryota; Metazoa; Chordata; Aves; Galliformes; Numididae. The transcript is spliced from 8 exons.